UACGAAGGGGGCUAGCGUUGUUCGGAAUUACUGGGCGUAAAGCGCGCGCAGGCGGUCUUUCAAGUCAGGGGUGAAAGCCCAGAGCUCAACUCUGGAAUUGCCUUUGAGACUGGGAGACUUGGGUACGGGAGAGGUGAGUGGAAUUCCGAGUGUAGAGGUGAAAUUCGUAGAUAUUCGGAAGAACACCAGUGGCGAAGGCGGCUCACUGGCCCGUUACCGACGCUCAGGCGCGACAGCGUGGGGAGCAAACAGG
This 253-nucleotide ribosomal RNA is filed under the name uncultured bacterium. RNAcentral describes it as "partial 16S ribosomal RNA". It matches the Rfam family "Bacterial small subunit ribosomal RNA", at positions 524 to 776 of the family's 1533-position model. The record is from RNAcentral.